This 253-nucleotide ribosomal RNA is filed under the name uncultured bacterium. RNAcentral describes it as "partial 16S ribosomal RNA". It matches the Rfam family "Bacterial small subunit ribosomal RNA", at positions 524 to 776 of the family's 1533-position model. The record is from RNAcentral.
UACAGAGGGUGCGAGCGUUAAUCGGAAUUAUUGGGCGUAAAGGGCGCGUAGGUGGUUAAUUAAGUUAGAUGUGAAAUCCCUGGGCUUAACCUAGGAACUGCAUUUAAUACUGAUUGACUAGAGUGUGGUAGAGGGUAGUGGAAUUUCCGGUGUAGCGGUGAAAUGCGUAGAUAUCGGAAGGAACACCAGUGGCGAAGGCGGCUACCUGGACUAACACUGACACUGAGGUGCGAGAGCGUGGGGAGCAAACAGG